RNAcentral lists this long non-coding RNA (513 nucleotides) under Marmota monax (woodchuck). The record is from RNAcentral. Lineage: Eukaryota; Metazoa; Chordata; Mammalia; Rodentia; Sciuridae.
UAUUAAAAUUGAAUAUUUUUAUCAACUUUCUUAUAUUUAUAUUACUGUUUUUCAAAGUUAUUUUAUAAAUUUUAAAUUCUGAUUCUGUAAAUAAUACAUAGGUUAAAAGACAGACAUUUCAGACAAGAUUGGGUAUGUUCAGGGUGAUAUGGCCCUAGAACAAAAAUUAAAAAAAAGAAGAAGAAAAAAACAUUUUAAAGGACAAAGAGAAUGGUAAGGAAUUGUAUUAGGAUAGGCCAUAACAGAUCAUCACAAAAUCUUGUGAUUUAAUCAACAGAGAUAUUUUUCUUGCUCGUGUGAGUUUUGCUCCACACACAGUAACUCAAAGACCCAUCUGAGCUGUACCUUGUAGAAUGUAUGGUCUGUCUACUCCAUAUGGUAGGAAGAGAGGACACUGAAGGGCAUCUCUUCUGUAGUUAGAUGCUUUGAUCACAUGAGUCACCUCAUUGUGGGAUCAGCACUAUAAUCCACAUCAAAGGAGAAAAAUGAAAAUCACCUAUCCCAUACACUGAG